This 1025-nucleotide ribosomal RNA is filed under the name Longicorpus striataspora. RNAcentral's name for it is "SSU rRNA". It matches the Rfam family "Eukaryotic small subunit ribosomal RNA", at positions 74 to 1107 of the family's 1831-position model. Lineage: Eukaryota; Fungi; Ascomycota; Dothideomycetes; Pleosporales. The record is from RNAcentral.
UUAUACCGUGAAACUGCGAAUGGCUCAUUAAAUCAGUUAUCGUUUAUUUGAUAGCACCUUACUACUUGGAUAACCGUGGUAAUUCUAGAGCUAAUACAUGCUAAAAACCCCGACUCCGGGAGGGGUGUAUUUAUUAGAUAAAAAACCAAUGCCCUCCGGGGCUCUUUGGUGAUUCAUGAUAACUUCACGGAUCGCAUGGCCUUGCGCCGGCGACGGUUCAUUCAAAUUUCUGCCCUAUCAACUUUCGAUGGUAAGGUCUUGGCUUACCAUGGUUUCAACGGGUAACGGGGAAUUAGGGUUCGAUUCCGGAGAGGGAGCCUGAGAAACGGCUACCACAUCCAAGGAAGGCAGCAGGCGCGCAAAUUACCCAAUCCCGACACGGGGAGGUAGUGACAAUAAAUACUGAUACAGGGCUCUUUUGGGUCUUGUAAUCGGAAUGAGUACAAUUUAAACCCCUUAACGAGGAACAAUUGGAGGGCAAGUCUGGUGCCAGCAGCCGCGGUAAUUCCAGCUCCAAUAGCGUAUAUUAAAGUUGUUGCAGUUAAAAAGCUCGUAGUUGAACCUUGGGCCUGGCUGGCCGGUCCGCCUCACCGCGUGUACUGGUCCGGCCGGGCCUUUCCUUCUGGAGAGCCGCAUGCCCUUCACUGGGUGUGCCGGGGAACCAGGACUUUUACUUUGAAAAAAUUAGAGUGUUCAAAGCAGGCCUUUGCUCGAAUACGUUAGCAUGGAAUAAUAGAAUAGGACGUGCGAUCCUAUUUUGUUGGUUUCUAGGACCGCCGUAAUGAUUAAUAGGGAUAGUCGGGGGCAUCAGUAUUCAAUUGUCAGAGGUGAAAUUCUUGGAUUUAUUGAAGACUAACUACUGCGAAAGCAUUUGCCAAGGAUGUUUUCAUUAAUCAGUGAACGAAAGUUAGGGGAUCGAAGACGAUCAGAUACCGUCGUAGUCUUAACCGUAAACUAUGCCGACUAGGGAUCGGGCGAUGUUUCUAUCUUGACUCGCUCGGCACCUUACGAGAAAUCAAAGUUUU